UGGCUAAGAGAAUUGGCUGUUCUUCCAGA
Molecule: non-coding RNA, 29 nt
Filed under: Mus musculus (house mouse)
Lineage: Eukaryota; Metazoa; Chordata; Mammalia; Rodentia; Muridae
Source: RNAcentral